This 254-nucleotide ribosomal RNA is filed under the name uncultured bacterium. Its description in RNAcentral is "partial 16S ribosomal RNA". It matches the Rfam family "Bacterial small subunit ribosomal RNA", at positions 524 to 776 of the family's 1533-position model. The record is from RNAcentral.
UACGGGGGGAGCAAGCGUUGUUCGGAUUUACUGGGCGUAAAGGGCGCGUAGGCGGUCAGCACAAGUCAGUUGUGAAAUCUCCGGGCUUAACCCGGAAAGGUCAACUGAUACUGUGCGACUAGAGUGCGGAAGGGGCAACUGGAAUUCUUGGUGUAGCGGUGAAAUGCGUAGAUAUCAAGAGGAACACCUGCGGCGAAGGCGGGUUGCUGGGCCGACACUGACGCUGAAGCGCGGAAGCCAGGGGAGCGAACGGG